AUUGAACGCUGGCGGCAGGCCUUACACAUGCAAGUCGAGCGGAAGAACGGGGCCUGCCCCUGGGUGCAGCGGCGCACGCGGGAGAAAUGUACAUGAGUAUACGUCCUAGAGGGGGGGAACGCCCGGAAACAGGCGCUUUUACCCCACACACGCUGAGCGGAAAAGAGCGGGGGCUCCGGACCUCUCGCGCUCUGCGGAGCCCAGGUCGGAUUAGCUAGUUGGUGGGGUAAAGGCGUACCAAGGCGACGAGCCGUAACUGGUCUGAGAGAAUGAGCAGCCACACUGGCACUGAGACACGGCCCAGACUCCUACGGGAGGCAGCAGUGGGGAAUAUUGGACAAUGGGCGAAAGCCUGAUCCAGCAAUGCCGCGUGUGUGAAGAAGGACUUCGGAUUGUAAAGCACUUUUGUUGGGGAGGAAAGACAGUGCGCUAAUACGUUGGUGUGUUGACGUUACCAACAGAAUAAGCACCGGCUAACUACGUG
RNAcentral lists this ribosomal RNA (484 nucleotides) under uncultured bacterium. Its description in RNAcentral is "partial 16S ribosomal RNA". It matches the Rfam family "Bacterial small subunit ribosomal RNA", at positions 29 to 507 of the family's 1533-position model. The record is from RNAcentral.